UACGAAGGGGGGCUAGCGUUGCUCGGAAUGACUGGGCGUAAAGGGCGCGUAGGCGGCUUGCACCGUCAGAUGUGAAAUUCCUGGGCUUAACCUGGGGGCUGCAUUUGAUACGUGUGGGCUUGAGUGCGGAAGAGGGUCGUGGAAUUCCCAGUGUAGAGGUGAAAUUCGUAGAUAUUGGGAAGAACACCGAUGGCGAAGGCAGCCCCCUGGGCCAACACUGACGCUCAUGCACGAAAGCGUGGGGAGCAAACAGG
Molecule: ribosomal RNA, 254 nt
Filed under: uncultured bacterium
Lineage: Bacteria
Description: partial 16S ribosomal RNA
Rfam family: Bacterial small subunit ribosomal RNA
Source: RNAcentral